AGCAGCGCGGUAAUUCCAGCUCCAAUAGCGAUAUUAAAGUUGUUGCAGUUAAAAAGCUCGUAGUUGAAUUUCGGGGUCAGUAGGUCGGUCGUGCCACUGGUAUGAACUGGUUUUACUGAUUCCUCCCUCUUGAAGAACUGUAAUGCCAUUAAUUUGGUGUUGCAGGGAAUCAGGACUGUUACUUUGAAAAAAUUAGAGUGUUUAAAGCAGGCUUUAGCUUGAAUACAUUAGCAUGGAAUAAUGAAAUAGGACGUUUGAUCCUAUUUUGUUGGUUUCUAGGAUUGACGUAAUGAUUAAUAGGGAUAGUUGGGGGCAUUAGUAUUCAAUUGUCAGAGGUGAAAUUCUUGGAUUUAUUGAAGACUAACUACUGCGAAAGCAUUUGCCAAGGAUGUUUUCAUUAAUCAAGAACGAAAGUUAGGGGAUCGAAGACGAUCAGAUCCGUCGUAGUCUUAACCAUAAACUAUGCCACUAGGGAUCGGAUGAUGUUAAUUUUUUAAUGACUCA
This 504-nucleotide ribosomal RNA is filed under the name Glomus sp. Glo3. RNAcentral describes it as "SSU rRNA". It matches the Rfam family "Eukaryotic small subunit ribosomal RNA", at positions 569 to 1078 of the family's 1831-position model. Lineage: Eukaryota; Fungi; Glomeromycota; Glomeromycetes; Glomerales; Glomeraceae. The record is from RNAcentral.